CAUAAUUGCGAAUAUAAUCAUUCAUAGCAUUCAUAUUGUUGAUAUUUGUCCAAUCAACUGAACUUCGACGCAGUGCAAGAGAUUUCAAAACUGACGCAUCGAUUGAUUAUAUUGAGGUAUACAUAUCAGUAGGUAUUAAUCAGUGAUUUGUUAUUAUUUCGACAGUUUGUUAACUAAUCGCGAGUCGAAUCAGUUGAUGUAUUUGACAAUUAAAAGUCUAAUUGUAUAUAUACAUCUAGAUUACACUUGUUUAGAAACACUAUAGAUAUACAUGAUGAUGCAUUGAAGGAAUUGUAGACGUAUAAUAUCAAUUUCAGAAUGUUAAUCCUCAACGUUUUAUUAACCGUAAAGACAGAUACACGCGUGUCAUAUCGAGUGUAAUCCGAUAAUAUUUAAUUCAUUGAUCCCUCAUUCUGUUUUCACACCGAACUAUCACCGAGUAACUUCUACACCAUUUAAUCAUGUCAAGAAAUGUAUUUCAAAUAUUUCGUUAUAAACAACGAAGCAAGAAAUGAAGUUAAAUUCUUCAAGAGCUGUAUCCAUAGACAGUUUGAAUAUUAUUGCUACACUUAUAAUUGUUAUUGUAUCUGCACAGCAUGCACGUGUUAACAAUUUUUUUUUUUUUUAUUCUGGAUUGUUGGGAAUGAUAUUUCACAACUCAUCAUGAAGCUGAAGGACGAAACAACGGUCUUUGCGUGGAAUAAUUAUGUUACAAAAGUUACAAUGCCGCACUGCAAAAUGUGAUGAUAGACCAUUAUAGACAGAAUGAACUAAUAUGUGAAAAUCCGAACUCAAUCUGCCAUUUUCGGGAUUAACGGUAUUCCCCGUUAUAAAUUGGAAUAAAAAAUCCCAGUUCUCAAUAUGGAAUUCCCUGACCAAACCAAGGCCGAACUUGAUCCGCAACAACCAACUCGUUGCCUUUUCCUUGUGCGUCUAAUACAGCAAAAUAGUCAUUUCAAUCGAAGAAUGUUGAAGAAUUUACGAACGGUAUGGGAGUUGAGAUUAAACAUAGGUAUACCGAUAUUAUAUUGUUACAUAAGACGAUGAAGAGAAGAAAAGAUCACUAACACCAGCGCUGAGAUAAAAUCUCAAAUGAGAUUUGGUUUCAGCAUCUUAAAUAAUUAGCCCACCUCUGCUAUGACAUUUUUCUUAUGGGUACAGCUGUUCAUCAAGGUUUCGGUCAUGGUAGUUUUGGAUUACCAGCUGCGUAUAUCAUUAAUAAUAAAAUUUGACGCGUGUUUUUCCGCGAACAUGAUGAAUUAAAUUGAGCAAUUUUACUGAU
Athalia rosae (coleseed sawfly) is the source of this 1282-nucleotide long non-coding RNA. RefSeq lists it as uncharacterized. Lineage: Eukaryota; Metazoa; Arthropoda; Insecta; Hymenoptera; Athaliidae. The record is from RefSeq and is a predicted model, not a curated record. The transcript is spliced from 2 exons.